This 4504-nucleotide long non-coding RNA is filed under the name Arabidopsis thaliana (thale cress). RNAcentral describes it as "long non-coding RNA (ATHA_LNC000616)". Lineage: Eukaryota; Viridiplantae; Streptophyta; Magnoliopsida; Brassicales; Brassicaceae. The record is from RNAcentral.
AUAUCUCCUAGUCAAAUCUUCGAGCUCGGUUUCUUCAAUCCCGCAUCAAGUUCGCGUUGGUAUCUCGGCAUAUGGUACAAGAUAAUCCCUAUAAGAACCUACGUAUGGGUUGCAAACAGAGACAAUCCUCUCUCUAGCUCCAACGGAACUCUCAAAAUAUCCGGCAAUAACCUCGUCAUUUUCGAUCAGUCCGAUAGGCCUGUUUGGUCGACGAAUAUAACCGGAGGAGAUGUGAGAUCACCAGUGGCUGCAGAGCUUCUUGAUAACGGUAAUUUCUUGCUCAGAGACUCCAAUAACAGACUUCUAUGGCAGAGUUUCGAUUUUCCGACAGAUACUUUACUUGCGGAGAUGAAAUUGGGAUGGGAUCAGAAAACCGGAUUCAACAGGAUCUUGAGAUCCUGGAAAACAACAGAUGAUCCAUCAAGCGGUGAGUUUUCGACAAAACUCGAAACCAGCGAGUUCCCUGAGUUUUACAUAUGCAGCAAGGAGUCGAUACUAUACCGCAGCGGUCCAUGGAAUGGAAUGCGUUUUAGCAGCGUACCAGGGACAAUUCAAGUUGAUUACAUGGUUUACAAUUUCACAGCAAGUAAGGAGGAAGUGACUUACUCAUACCGAAUCAACAAAACAAACUUAUACUCGAGAUUAUACUUAAACUCUGCGGGUUUAUUACAACGAUUGACUUGGUUUGAGACAACACAGAGUUGGAAGCAACUAUGGUACUCACCGAAGGACCUAUGCGAUAACUACAAAGUGUGCGGGAAUUUCGGUUAUUGCGACUCGAACAGUUUACCAAAUUGUUAUUGUAUCAAAGGGUUUAAGCCAGUGAAUGAGCAAGCGUGGGACUUGAGAGAUGGCUCCGCUGGUUGCAUGAGGAAGACGAGGCUGAGCUGUGACGGUAGAGAUGGUUUUACCCGGUUGAAGAGGAUGAAAUUGCCAGAUACCACGGCGACAAUUGUGGACAGAGAAAUUGGGUUGAAAGUAUGUAAAGAAAGGUGUCUAGAAGAUUGUAAUUGCACUGCGUUCGCUAAUGCGGAUAUUCGCAAUGGCGGGUCUGGUUGUGUGAUUUGGACCAGAGAGAUUUUGGAUAUGCGAAAUUAUGCUAAGGGAGGUCAGGAUCUUUACGUUAGACUAGCCGCUGCUGAACUCGGUUAGUUUCUUUCUUAUUUGCAUUUACUAAAGUGGUUCUUACUUUUUGUUUUGAUUAAAAAGUUAUGACCCAAAGUCAAUAUAUCUUCCCAAUCUGCGGACCAAGUCAUGUAAUAUUGUCCCUCUCGAAGCAAAGUUCAAACUCCCUAAUCUAUAGAGGCUUUGGUCAACAAAGUACAUUCUUGAUGUUUGGUCAAUUUGUUUAGUUUUUUUUUUUUGUCAUCUGUUUUUAAUUAGAGAUCAAAAGAUUAAUAAGAGUUUAGCUAGAUCCAAUACCAUUAUACCAAAAAGAAUUUUUGUUUAAGUUAAAUUAAUUAUUUUGUUUAUUUUUCGUAUUAAUUUUUUUUAAUCAAACGUACAACAAAGGAUAUUUUUCGUAUAGAAGUAAAUAUAUGCCUCGUUUUUAUUGCAGAGGACAAGAGAAUCAAAAAUGAAAAAAUUAUAGGUUCGAGUAUUGGAGUGAGCAUUUUGCUUCUUUUAAGUUUUGUCAUCUUCCAUUUUUGGAAAAGGAAGCAGAAGCGAUCAAUAACAAUUCAAACACCUAAUGGUAAAAUAAAUCAUUAGCUUUCAUUUCCUUUAUUUUUGUCAAUAAAUUUUGAUAAUCAAAUGUCUUGAUUGUUUUUUUUUUUUUUAACGCCUGAAUGAAACAGUUGAUCAAGUGAGAAGCCAAGACUCGCUAAUCAACGAUGUGGUAGUAUCUAGGAGGGGUUACACAUCCAAAGAAAAAAAAAGUGAGUACCUAGAGCUUCCAUUGUUGGAGUUGGAAGCUCUUGCCACGGCAACAAACAAUUUUUCUAACGACAACAAGCUUGGACAAGGUGGAUUCGGAAUUGUUUACAAGGUAAAAGUGAUUCAAAACAUAUUGAAAAUCUACCACAGCACAUGGUUUCAUUGUAUAAUCACAUGUGUGGUAAUAGGGAAGAUUACUUGACGGAAAAGAAAUUGCGGUAAAGAGACUAUCGAAAAUGUCCUCACAAGGGACCGAUGAGUUCAUGAACGAGGUUAGAUUAAUUGCAAAGCUUCAGCACAUAAACCUUGUCCGGCUUCUAGGUUGUUGCGUCGAUAAGGGUGAGAAGAUGUUGAUCUAUGAGUACUUGGAGAAUUUAAGCCUUGACUCGCAUCUCUUUGGUUAGUGACUCAAACAGCUUCUGUUCUAAUAAUUGAACAUUUUUGUGAAAACGUUAACUUGUUGUUGGUUGUGUUGGAUGUGUAGACCAAACACGAAGCUCUAACUUAAAUUGGCAAAAGAGAUUUGAUAUUAUCAAUGGUAUUGCUAGAGGACUUCUAUAUCUUCACCAAGAUUCACGGUGUAGGAUUAUCCAUAGAGACUUGAAAGCAAGUAACGUAUUGCUUGAUAAAAAUAUGACUCCAAAGAUCUCGGAUUUCGGUAUGGCGAGGAUCUUUGGACGGGAGGAGACAGAGGCUAAUACAAGGAGGGUGGUCGGAACUUAGUAAGCAAUCAUUCUUCAACAAAACAAAAAAAGAGCUUUUAUCUCAAGUCCAAAUAUUUUCUUAAAAACCUCAUAACAUAUGAGUUUAUAUUUUGUUAUGCAGCGGCUACAUGUCUCCAGAAUAUGCAAUGGACGGGAUAUUCUCGAUGAAGUCGGAUGUUUUCAGCUUUGGGGUCUUGCUUCUAGAGAUUAUAAGUGGAAAAAGAAACAAAGGAUUCUACAACUCAAACCGUGAUCUUAAUCUCCUCGGUUUUGUAAGCUAAAAACCUCUUCAAUUCGAUAUUGUUUUGCAUUCAUAAUCUGAUUAUAACACUAAAGAAAUAUUACAUCCUUUAUGCACAGGUGUGGAGGCAUUGGAAGGAAGGAAACGAGCUAGAGAUUGUAGAUCCGAUCAACAUCGAUUCUUUGUCAUCAAAGUUCCCGACACAUGAAAUCUUAAGAUGUAUACAAAUUGGUCUCUUGUGUGUUCAAGAACGAGCCGAAGACAGACCAGUGAUGUCCUCGGUAAUGGUGAUGCUUGGAAGCGAAACUACCGCUAUUCCUCAGCCUAAACGUCCUGGAUUUUGCAUUGGUAGAAGUCCUCUUGAGGCUGAUUCUUCUUCAAGUACACAGCGCGACGAUGAAUGUACAGUGAACCAAAUCACUCUCUCGGUCAUUGACGCUCGGUAAUUUGUAACUUACGGCCCAAUCUGUUUACAUGCAUAUCAUUUUAUAGGUAAGUCUAAAUAGAUUUUAUUACUACAUAUAUGAUUCGAUAUCUUGCUCUAUCUAAUUUAAUUUAGACAAAAGAUUCACCACAUGUUUCACAUGAUUUUGAUUUAGAGCGAGAAUUAUAAAAAAAAAACAUUUAGACAAAGACAAAAAAAUGCAAGAUUUGGAGUUGUCACUCCAAGAUUUGAAGUUUGAGACCGAAACUCAAUUAAGUGGGAAUUCAGUAAUGAUUAAUAUUCACUUUUUGUACAUACUACUGAUAAUAGACCAAUACUGGAAGCGAACAUAGGACUUUAUGGCUAUUACAACAGAGGACUUUAUGAAACAAAUCGAAUAUAUACCUUAAACUUUUAUGAAUUCAUCGGUGAAGCAUUCUCUUGCAUAUAACAUUUAGUAUGUCGCCAGCAACAUUGAAAUUUUGUCUAUUCUCGUACACACACACACAAAUGGUUGAGGAUAUUAUUUUUUUGGAGUAAACGAAGAAAAGUCAGUUACUAGGAAAUUACAAAACCAUAAUUAUCAAUUUAACGACUUUUAAGGUCAUUGACUCAAUUCUAUAGUGACAUAGUCUAUAGAUAUUUCAAAAGCGAACAAGAAGACCAAGAAAAUGUAGCUGAAAAUGAAAUAUUAUCAACAAUAGAGAGAAAUCGUGUAAAUGACGUUCACACAUUUCAACACCAAACAUGUCGUAAUCUCCGAAGAUAAAAAUUCUCAAUUAUAUGUACAUAAAAUUUUCAUAAGAAGAAAAUAAAACAGAACACAAGAAAGUGUCCUAGCUAGAGAGAGAGAGAGAGAUGAGAAAUGUACCAAACUAUCAUCAUUCUUACUUCAUAUUAUUCAUCAUAAUUCUGUUUCUUGCUUUCUCUGUUUAUGCAAGCAACUUUUCAGCCACAGAAUCUCUCACUAUCUCAAGCAACAAAACCAUUAUAUCUCCUAGUCAAAUCUUCGAGCUCGGUUUCUUCAAUCCCGACUCAAGUUCACGUUGGUAUCUCGGCAUAUGGUACAAGAUAAUCCCUAUAAGAACCUACGUAUGGGUUGCAAACAGAGACAAUCCUCUCUCUAGUUCCAACGGAACUCUCAAAAUAUCCGACAAUAACCUCGUCAUUUUCGAUCAGUCCGAUAGGCCUGUUUGGUCGACGAAUAUAACCGGAGGAGAUGUGAGAUCACCAGUGGCUGCAGAGCUUCUUGAUUACGGU